Molecule: transfer RNA, 62 nt
Filed under: Abrus daozhenensis
Lineage: Eukaryota; Metazoa; Arthropoda; Insecta; Hemiptera; Cicadellidae
Also listed under: 1 other name
Description: tRNA-Cys
Source: RNAcentral
GGUUUUAUAGUUUAAUAAAAACUUCAAAUUGCAAAUUUGGUAAUGAUAAAUGUCUAAGACUU